This 73-nucleotide transfer RNA is filed under the name Trichonephila inaurata madagascariensis. It matches the Rfam family "tRNA". Rfam says of the family: Transfer RNA (tRNA) molecules are approximately 80 nucleotides in length. Their secondary structure includes four short double-helical elements and three loops (D, anti-codon, and T loops). Lineage: Eukaryota; Metazoa; Arthropoda; Arachnida; Araneae; Nephilidae. The record is from Rfam by way of RNAcentral.
GUCCCCGUAGCGCAAUGGAUAGCGCAUUGAACUUUUAAUUCAAAGGUCGUGAGUUCGAAUCUCACCUGGGAUG